CGUGCUCCGAGAUCACAAACAGCCUGUCGCGGAUCACGACGCUCACACCCGUCCACCCUUCUUUCAUCCCACCGCUCAUCUCUCGCCACGUGCCUUCGUCGGAGUCGUACACUUGUCCCAUCGGUGGAAACAUGAACGGCCACGCCCAUCCUUCUGUUACACACAUCUCUUUCCCGAUCACGGCUGAGUCAUACUUCGCCAACACCAUCGGCAACUUCUUCACAACCGUCCACGUGUCAUUAUCUGGAUCAUACGAUUCAACUUCCGUAGUUGCUUCUCCGUUUCCGCCCACACUCCCACCAACGGCCAUGAUUUUACCGUUAACAUUCCCGGAGACGAAGUACGUUCUCGGGCUCAUCAUCGGAGAUAUACACGACCAACGAUUCGUUAGAGCAGUGUAAACGACGGCGGAGCGGUUUACAUCUCCGCCGCCGAGUACAAAAAGCUUCCCCUGACGUGGCAUCGACGCGCAUGAGAGUGCGUGAGGAGACGAGAUUUUGGUGAAAGAGUUUGGCAUGGGAGGUAAAACAAACCAACGGCCAGAUGCAAGGUCAAGGGAUUGCCAUUGAAUCCUAGCCGUUGAUUUGUUGAAAGCGAAGACAAAUAGGUAAGGAGAAGAGAUAGAAAGAGAUUGCUUGGAGAAGAGGAAUCUAGGGUUUGUGAUGGUUUUGUUCCAUGAAGAUGAAACAGAGCGAUAUAGAGCAUGGUAUGGGACCAAUUCGAUCUUCUUGAAGUCAUGUUCUCCUCUUGCUAUUACAAGACUUUGUUCGUAUAUUCAAUCUAAUAUAAUAGUUGAAGAUGUUUCUGGUUAUGAUAUUGUGACUUAGACAUUGCAGUUACAGAUUCAACAAGCAAGGUUUUGCCAGAGCCUCUAUAGGAGGAUCAAACAAGAUUUCUGA
Molecule: long non-coding RNA, 899 nt
Filed under: Arabidopsis thaliana (thale cress)
Lineage: Eukaryota; Viridiplantae; Streptophyta; Magnoliopsida; Brassicales; Brassicaceae
Description: potential natural antisense gene, locus overlaps with AT2G24540 (AT2G24545)
Source: RNAcentral